CCUACGGGUGGCAGCAGUGGAGAAUAUUUCACAAUGGGGGAAACCCUGAUGCAGCGACGCCGCGUGAGUGAAGAAGUAAUUCGGUAUGUAAAGCUCUAUCAGCAGGGGAGCAAAUUACGGUACCUGAGUAAGAAGCCGCGGCUACCUCCGUGCCAGCAGCCGCGGUAACACGGAGGGGGCAGGCGUUAUCCGGAUUUACUGGGUGUAACGGGAGCGUAGGCGGUAGUGUAAGUGUGGAGUGAAAGGGGGGGGCUCAACCCCCGGACGGCACUGGAAACUGUACGGCUGGAGUGCAGGAGAGGUAAGUGGAAUUCCUGGUGUAGCGGUGAAAUGCGUAGAUAUUAGGAGGAACACCAGUGGCGAAGGCGGCUUACUGGACUGUAACUGACGUUGAGGCUCGAAAGCGUGGGGAGCAAACAGGAUUAGAUACCCCUGUAGUC
RNAcentral lists this ribosomal RNA (440 nucleotides) under uncultured bacterium. RNAcentral's name for it is "partial 16S ribosomal RNA". It matches the Rfam family "Bacterial small subunit ribosomal RNA", at positions 338 to 795 of the family's 1533-position model. The record is from RNAcentral.